Molecule: non-coding RNA, 444 nt
Organism: Vicia faba (fava bean)
Lineage: Eukaryota; Viridiplantae; Streptophyta; Magnoliopsida; Fabales; Fabaceae
Source: the annotation of a GenBank genome assembly
UUAAAAAAUUCAAAUAAAGUUGCUUCAAAGUUGCGAGUUAUCAUUACUAUUGUUCUUUGUGUAUAUUAUUUCUUAGAAAGUAGAAUCAAAAACCAAAUACAAAAGAAGAAGAAGAAACCCUCUGAUUUACACUUCAACUCCUUUAUCUCUAUCUUUCUAUUAUUAAUAAUUAUCUCCCUCAUCAAAGCCUCCGCCAGUAUAACCUCCAUUCACUUACAACUCCAGUAUCGGCCAGGGAAACAUUGGCCGAUAUCAACCCACUAUUUAUCAACAAAAACAAAACAAAAUGAUCGAAGUAAGUACAUAUUUAGAAUAACGCUGAGUUUUGCUCAAUCACAAUGCACCACUGUGAAUUUGGCCAAAAAUUGCACUUUGAAACUUCAACAAAAUACGGCGUGUUCCCGUAAUAUUGUCAAAUUCACCGUAAUUUCAAAGAUGCACUAA